CACACUUCUAACUUGUGUUUCAUGUACUUCCGGAUCAUAGACUGGAAACUCCUUGAACAGAUCCCGUCUUACACCUGUCAUGGCACUGGGCCUCACCACAGUCUCUAGUACAUGGAACACUCUCAGAUACGCCUCCCCUCCUCUGGAAGGAUGAUAAUGAAUGGAGAGAGAAGUGUGAAUCUGAGGAAUUCUGAGAGCCAAGAGUUACAGCAGCCAGGGGCUCCAAGACCCUCUAGCCCAACAAGACAAGGAUCAGAGUGGAUAUGUCGCGGAGCGGAGUGGCAGGGCACAGCUGGGGAGCCGCACGACGCAGGGAGUGUGAAGAGCCAGGAAGGACUGGUGGCCUGAGAAGGUGGUCCAACCAGGUCACAGUGCCACGGGCAGGAGAAACAGCGGGCUCCAGAGACACACCCUGGCGGCCUUAGUUGUCUGCCCAGACCACAGAGGACCGGGGACCCAACGUGAGGGUGCCUGGCACCACCUGGAAUGGGCCCGUGGGCCGCCACUAGCUUUCCUGGGCCACCUCCACUCCUCUAGCAAUGCUGACCUAUUUGCGGGUUUUUCAAAUGUACCUCCCUUUCUUGCAUCUGUGUGCUUUUUCUGUAAGAUGUUUUCUAAAACCCUCUCCUCCAAUUCCCACACCACACUGCCGAAAGUGUUGUCCUUCAAGAUGGUGUCGCUUGCUUAUGUGAAACCUAUGCCCUCCCACCAGCGCUUAUAGGAAGGCAGCCAAACGCGGCAUCCAAUGCUCUUCCCAAUCUGCCCAAACCCACCUCUCGCAGCCCUUCUGUGGCCCCCUCCCGUGGCACCUGCCGUUCUCCCGUAAAUACUCCGCAAAGCCUUCCCUGACUCUCCGAGGCAGGACUGACUGCCCUUUGGCCCGUGUUCCCUCACCCCUGGCUUUAUACCAGCAUUGCCCUCACCAGUGUUCAGCGCGUUACGUACAAAGGUGUGUGAUUUCAGUUCCUCCGACUGGGAGGCCAUGGCAGGCAGGGGCUCUGUCUCAUUCAUCUUUGUAUCAAUAGUGCCAGAGUGGGUAAUCCAAGUGGAAAAGUCCAAAAGGUGAUGUAUGAAUGGGUGAGCUAAUGCAUAGGUGAAUUUACACAAAAUGCCAGACCAAUUUGGCAAUAUUUAGAAAAAUAUCGUCUUGGACAAAGGAUAUAGCUAAGAGUUCAUCCCUACAUCAGAGCAAAACAACUGGCAACUUAUGUUUACGCCUUUGUUCUCAAAGAGAACCUAUUUAUUUAUUAUUUAUUUUUUAA
RNAcentral lists this long non-coding RNA (1262 nucleotides) under Ursus maritimus (polar bear). RNAcentral describes it as "lncRNA (ENSUMAG00000001856.1)". Lineage: Eukaryota; Metazoa; Chordata; Mammalia; Carnivora; Ursidae. The record is from RNAcentral.